UAGGGAGCUUGCUCCCGGAUGUUAGCGGCGGACGGGUGAGUAACACGUGGGUAACCUGCCUGUAAGACUGGGAUAACUCCGGGAAACCGGAGCUAAUACCGGAUAGUUCCUUGAACCGCAUGGUUCAAGGAUGAAAGACGGUUUCGGCUGUCACUUACAGAUGGACCCGCGGCGCAUUAGCUAGUUGGUGGGGUAAUGGCUCACCAAGGCGACGAUGCGUAGCCGACCUGAGAGGGUGAUCGGCCACACUGGGACUGAGACACGGCCCAGACUCCUACGGGAGGCAGCAGUAGGGAAUCUUCCGCAAUGGACGAAAGUCUGACGGAGCAACGCCGCGUGAGUGAUGAAGGUUUUCGGAUCGUAAAGCUCUGUUGUUAGGGAAGAACAAGUGCGAGAGUAACUGCUCGCACCUUGACGGUACCUAACCAGAAAGCCACGGCUAACUACGUGCCAGCACCCGCGGUAAUACUUAGGUGGCAAGCGUUGUCCGGAAUUAUUGGGCGUAAAGGGUUCGCAGGCGGUUUCUUAAGUC
Molecule: ribosomal RNA, 532 nt
Filed under: Bacillus pumilus
Lineage: Bacteria; Bacillati; Bacillota; Bacilli; Caryophanales; Bacillaceae
Description: bacterial SSU rRNA
Rfam family: Bacterial small subunit ribosomal RNA
Source: RNAcentral